RNAcentral lists this ribosomal RNA (491 nucleotides) under uncultured bacterium. Its description in RNAcentral is "partial 16S ribosomal RNA". It matches the Rfam family "Bacterial small subunit ribosomal RNA", at positions 28 to 506 of the family's 1533-position model. The record is from RNAcentral.
GAUGAACGCUAGCUACAGGCUUAACACAUGCAAGUCGAGGGGAAACGGCAUUGAGUGCUUGCACUCUUUGGACGUCGACCGGCGCACGGGUGAGUAACGCGUAUCCAACCUUCCCAUUACUGUGGGAUAACCUGCCGAAAGGCAGACUAAUACCGCAUAGUCUUCGAUGACGGCAUCAGAUUUGAAGUAAAGAUUUAUCGGUAAUGGAUGGGGAUGCGUCUGAUUAGCUUGUUGGCGGGGUAACGGCCCACCAAGGCGACGAUCAGUAGGGGUUCUGAGAGGAAGGUCCCCCACAUUGGAACUGAGACACGGUCCAAACUCCUACGGGAGGCAGCAGUGAGGAAUAUUGGUCAAUGGACGGAAGUCUGAACCAGCCAAGUAGCGUGCAGGAUGACGGCCCUAUGGGUUGUAAACUGCUUUUGUAUGGGGAUAAAGUUAGGGACGUGUCCCUAUUUGCAGGUACCAUACGAAUAAAGACCGGCUAAUUCCGU